GUCUCAGUGGCGUAGUGGUUACCGCAAGAGGCCCGGUCACGCGCAAGACGCGGGUUCGAUCCCCGCCUGAGAGG
This 74-nucleotide transfer RNA is filed under the name Nippostrongylus brasiliensis. It matches the Rfam family "tRNA". From Rfam's summary of the family: Transfer RNA (tRNA) molecules are approximately 80 nucleotides in length. Their secondary structure includes four short double-helical elements and three loops (D, anti-codon, and T loops). The record is from Rfam by way of RNAcentral. Lineage: Eukaryota; Metazoa; Nematoda; Chromadorea; Rhabditida; Heligmosomidae.